RNAcentral lists this unclassified non-coding RNA (352 nucleotides) under soil metagenome. Its description in RNAcentral is "partial contains 5.8S ribosomal RNA, internal transcribed spacer 2, and large subunit ribosomal RNA". The stretch from base 1 to 120 matches the Rfam family "5.8S ribosomal RNA", at positions 35 to 154 of the family's 154-position model. The record is from RNAcentral.
GAUGAAGAACGUAGCGAAAUGCGAUAAGUAAUGUGAAUUGCAGAAUUCAGUGAAUCAUCGAAUCUUUGAACGCACAUUGCGCCCGCCAGUAUUCUGGCAGGCAUGCCUGUUCGAGCGUCAUUACAACCCUCAGGCCCCCGGGCCUGGCGUUGGGGAUCGGCGGAGCCCCCCGUGGGCACACGCCGUCCCCCAAAUGCAGUGGCGGUCCCGCCGCAGCUUCCAUCGCGUAGUAGCUAACACCUCGCGACUGGAGAGCGGCGCGGCCACGCCGUAAAACACCCAACUCUUCUGAAGUUGACCUCGAAUCAGGUAGGAAUACCCGCUGAACUUAAGCAUAUCAAUAAGCGGAGGA